This 733-nucleotide long non-coding RNA is filed under the name Homo sapiens (human). RNAcentral describes it as "non-protein coding IQCJ-SCHIP1-AS1:13". Lineage: Eukaryota; Metazoa; Chordata; Mammalia; Primates; Hominidae. The record is from RNAcentral.
AUCAUUUCCCUUCCACCUUCCUCCUCGCCGCUUCCUCUCCCUCCACCGCGCAGCUCCAGCCGCCUUGCCGCCGCCGCAUCCCCUUCCAAGUUCAGGCUGUGGGUGGAACCUGUUGCUUUAGCUCACGUUUCCCUUCCCCUCCGGGCUGCACGCUGAGGAUGACCUCAGCGAGGUGUGUGUAAGGGGAAUGGAGGGUUUGGCUUCCUUGAGACAGAGGAUCUUGCUCGCCUCAAAGAGGAGGGCAGUUUGCCCCCUUCCUCCUGACUCCAAGACAAAAGAGAGAAGACUGAAGAGUGGUAAAGCUUGUGGGAUCCAGGGCCUCUCAGAGUUCACCUGAGCUUUCCCAAGUCUGGUUUGUUCUCUCUACCCUGCUGCUACUACUGCAAGUGACUUUCACAAGAUGCUUCUGAGCAUAGCAUUGCUCUGCUGUGACCACUGCAGAUGUCAAGAGAAUUUCUGCCUUUUGGAACUUGGACAAUAUUGGCCACCUACCCAGAGAGAGGAGAAGGAUAAUCCAGACAUAAAGGUAGCUCCCACACAUCCUUUGGAUCUCUGAUAAAGAGUCAUAUACUUAAAGAGCCAUCCUCACAUUCCUGCCCAGACUGUGAGCUGCAUGAGAGAGGCCAUGUCUCAUUUUGUUCCAUUACAUCUCCAGCACUUAAGAGUGCUGGACACAUAACGAGUGUCUGACACAUAACGAGUGCUGAAUAAAUGUUUGUUAACUGAUAAAAUG